RNAcentral lists this ribosomal RNA (163 nucleotides) under uncultured fungus. RNAcentral's name for it is "5.8S ribosomal RNA". It matches the Rfam family "5.8S ribosomal RNA". Rfam says of the family: 5.8S ribosomal RNA (5.8S rRNA) is a component of the large subunit of the eukaryotic ribosome. It is transcribed by RNA polymerase I as part of the 45S precursor that also contains 18S and 28S rRNA. Lineage: Eukaryota; Fungi. The record is from RNAcentral.
CAACUUUCAACAACGGAUCUCUUGGUUCUGGCAUCGAUGAAGAACGCAGCGAAAUGCGAUAAGUAGUGUGAAUUGCAGAAUUCAGUGAAUCAUCGAAUCUUUGAACGCACAUUGCGCCCCUUGGUAUUCCAUGGGGCAUGCCUGUUCGAGCGUCAGUUGUACC